UAGGGAAUCUUCGGCAAUGGACGAAAGUCUGACCGAGCAACGCCGCGUGAGUGAAGAAGGUUUUCGGAUCGUAAAACUCUGUUGUUAGAGAAGAACAAGGACGUUAGUAACUGAACGUCCCCUGACGGUAUCUAACCAGAAAGCCACGGCUAACUACGUGCCAGCAGCCGCGGUAAUACGUAGGUGGCAAGCGUUGUCCGGAUUUAUUGGGCGUAAAGCGAGCGCAGGCGGUUUCUUAAGUCUGAUGUGAAAGCCCCCGGCUCAACCGGGGAGGGUCAUUGGAAACUGGGAGACUUGAGUGCAGAAGAGGAGAGUGGAAUUCCAUGUGUAGCGGUGAAAUGCGUAGAUAUAUGGAGGGACACCAGUGGCGAAGGCGGCUCUCUGGUCUGUAACUGACGCUGAGGCUCGAAAGCGUGGGGAGCAAACAGG
RNAcentral lists this ribosomal RNA (429 nucleotides) under Chloroflexota bacterium. RNAcentral describes it as "Chloroflexi bacterium partial 16S ribosomal RNA". It matches the Rfam family "Bacterial small subunit ribosomal RNA", at positions 355 to 776 of the family's 1533-position model. RNAcentral also lists the same sequence under 1 other name. The record is from RNAcentral. Lineage: Bacteria; Bacillati; Chloroflexota.